Terrapene triunguis (Three-toed box turtle) is the source of this 908-nucleotide long non-coding RNA. RefSeq lists it as uncharacterized. The transcript has 4 exons. The record is from RefSeq and is a predicted model, not a curated record. Lineage: Eukaryota; Metazoa; Chordata; Testudines; Emydidae.
ACGCCACAGCCAGGGGCGCCCGCGAUACACGAGGCGGCAGCACCGCCACCCAGCCAGGGGGAGACUCUGCAGCGCCGCCGGGAGGGAAGGGCGGACGCGCCUCGCUCUCACACUCCCUCCCCCUGGCCGCUAGGGGAGAACCCGCCUGCCUCACCCCAGAACUAGACAAGUCUGAAGCUGAGUGCGAGCGGCGGCGGGUCACAGCCAAUCCGGAGCCAGAACCUCGAGAGGGGCGGCCAUCCCCAGCCAAUCACUGCGCUCCGCGAGCGAGGCCUCAGCAAGGUGACUAACAAGCAGACCAUCAGGAACACCGCUCUCCCGAAACUGGCAUUGUCCCUGGCCUGUUGUUGUGAUGGUGUAGCAAGAUACAAAAAGCAAACAAGUCCACCUUGGGAGGCCCCCACCUUUGGAAGAUGAACCCGGUGAUUUUCAAGUGAAGAAACCACUCAUGGGCUCUUGUCUUGGAGGCACCAAGAAAUGAGGAGGCUGCUGGGGCCUGAAGUGCUUCCUGGAAGUCAAUGGAGCAUAAAGGCCUAAAGAUUGUAGGGUGGCCCUUGAGUCCUUUCGGCUGUGAAGUCUUGAAGGGGAAGUCCUGGACGGACUGUUGGACCUUGUGAGGAAGCCCCAAGAAUUGGAGCCAAGAACACCACCUCAUGGUGACAACGGAGGCCAUUGUCCUGGCGGCCGAGUCGGCUGCAUCCAGAGCCACCUGGAGAGAGGUCCUGGCCACAUCUUACCCUCUUCCAAGAGGGCAGUGAACUCCUGCCUUGAAUUUUGGGUCAGAGAGAGAGUUUUUAAAUUUAGCCAGGGAGUACCAUGGAUUAUAAAUCGUAUCUCUCCAGCAAAACUCGCUGGUUAGAGAUACAUAGUUGAAGGCUACCCUUUGAAUAAACCUUUCUGAAAAAGUC